RNAcentral lists this transfer RNA (72 nucleotides) under Nadvornikia sorediata. RNAcentral's name for it is "tRNA-Val". It matches the Rfam family "tRNA". From Rfam's summary of the family: Transfer RNA (tRNA) molecules are approximately 80 nucleotides in length. Their secondary structure includes four short double-helical elements and three loops (D, anti-codon, and T loops). Lineage: Eukaryota; Fungi; Ascomycota; Lecanoromycetes; Ostropales; Graphidaceae. The record is from RNAcentral.
AAGAAAUUAGCUCAAUGGUAGAGCUAUCGUUUUACACACGAAGGGUUAAGUGUUCAAAUCACUUAUUUCUUA